RNAcentral lists this ribosomal RNA (253 nucleotides) under uncultured bacterium. RNAcentral describes it as "partial 16S ribosomal RNA". It matches the Rfam family "Bacterial small subunit ribosomal RNA", at positions 524 to 776 of the family's 1533-position model. The record is from RNAcentral.
UACGAAGGGGGCUAGCGUUGUUCGGAUUUACUGGGCGUAAAGCGCACGUAGGCGGACUCUUAAGUCGGUGGUGAAAUCCUGGAGCUCAACUCCAGAACUGCCUUCGAUACUGGGAGUCUCGAGUCCGAGAGAGGUGAGUGGAACUGCGAGUGUAGAGGUGAAAUUCGUAGAUAUUCGCAAGAACACCAGUGGCGAAGGCGGCUCACUGGCUCGGUACUGACGCUGAGGUGCGAAAGCGUGGGGAGCAACAGGG